CAGCAUGUUUCCAAGGGCUUUGGCUGGUUUAUGGCCAUGGGCUCUCCAGCUACAAGAGGAGACACUGACAACUCGGGUCAGCACAGUGCCUGUGGUUGCUACUUAUCAUUCUUAGAGAC
Small nucleolar RNA from Psammomys obesus (fat sand rat), 119 nucleotides. RefSeq annotates it as small nucleolar RNA SNORA44. The record is from RefSeq and is a predicted model, not a curated record. The transcript has a single exon. Lineage: Eukaryota; Metazoa; Chordata; Mammalia; Rodentia; Muridae.